This 297-nucleotide ribosomal RNA is filed under the name Bacillus anthracis (anthrax bacterium). RNAcentral's name for it is "partial 23S ribosomal RNA". It matches the Rfam family "Bacterial large subunit ribosomal RNA", at positions 2633 to 2925 of the family's 2925-position model. The record is from RNAcentral. Lineage: Bacteria; Bacillati; Bacillota; Bacilli; Caryophanales; Bacillaceae.
GGUCCCUAUCCGUCGUGGGCGUAGGAAAUUUGAGAGGAGCUGUCCUUAGUACGAGAGGACCGGGAUGGACGCACCGCUGGUGUACCAGUUGUUCUGCCAAGGGCAUAGCUGGGUAGCUAUGUGCGGAAGGGAUAAGUGCUGAAAGCAUCUAAGCAUGAAGCCCCCCUCAAGAUGAGAUUUCCCAUAGCGUAAGCUAGUAAGAUCCCUGAAAGAUGAUCAGGUUGAUAGGUUCGAGGUGGAAGCAUGGUGAUAUGUGGAGCUGACGAAUACUAAUAGAUCGAGGACUUAACCAUAUAA